This is a long non-coding RNA of Capra hircus (goat), 356 nucleotides long. RefSeq lists it as uncharacterized. Lineage: Eukaryota; Metazoa; Chordata; Mammalia; Artiodactyla; Bovidae. The record is from RefSeq and is a predicted model, not a curated record. The transcript is spliced from 3 exons.
CUUGCUGCGUCUUCGGCAUCUUCCUCUGCAGAUUCUGUACCAUCUGAGCCACCAGGGAAGCCCAGAGAAGAGUGACGACCAGGUGCAGACAUGAUGUGGCCCUAGAGUAGAAGAUCCUUCUGUGACUUGCUUUGAAUCUCCUGAAUGCAAAACCAAUUAGAUGAAGAGAUGGAGUAUAUGCGUAGGGGCUAGUCUUCUGAGGAAGACUCCCACCCCCAACUCCUGAUAUUCAAAAAUCCUGCACUCCUUUGGGGGUACGUGAGGGUGUGCCAAAACUCAGGAGUAAGACAAUCCCUUGAGAGAAGACCGCUGAUGGAGGCUCAACAAUAAGCAAGGUGCAAAGAACAUGAGCUGGG